Molecule: non-coding RNA, 544 nt
Organism: Danio rerio (zebrafish)
Lineage: Eukaryota; Metazoa; Chordata; Actinopteri; Cypriniformes; Danionidae
Source: Ensembl
AUGACCUUCCUGAGGCACUUGCAGCCAUCUCCUCCCAAUGCAGUAUGGGGAAAUCCUCUUCAAACAGCUCCUUGGACAAACAGGUCCAGCCACCGAUUUAUCCACCGCAGAAGGAUACUUCACGUUUGGAGCAUGACAGCUCACCACUGUUCUUUCCAAGUCCAGUACCUCACCUGCUACCAUAUGCUACACAUACACAAAGCUCCGAAGACCUGCGCAUGGAGAGAGAGAAACUGCUGAGGGCGCUGUUAAUGACAGAACUCUGAGACAGGACACACAUAAAACAACACAACUAUUUCCAGACAACAAAACCCAGAUGGACAAAUCGGCCCUUAAAUCGAUGCACUAAUUUAUUUCACUGUUACACAGUAUUUGCGCCAGAGCAAACUUCUUUGCUAUAAGAGCUAUUUUAGCAUUUUGCUAACAUCCUUCAUCAAUGUUCAUUCAAGCAGCAGCUGAAAUGUUUGUUUUGUUUGCUUGUUCUGUAAUAAGCAUGGCAUCAGCGCUGUAUAAACUGACUUGACGACUUGUUAACUUUUAAUAA